RNAcentral lists this ribosomal RNA (253 nucleotides) under uncultured bacterium. RNAcentral's name for it is "partial 16S ribosomal RNA". It matches the Rfam family "Bacterial small subunit ribosomal RNA", at positions 524 to 776 of the family's 1533-position model. The record is from RNAcentral.
CACGUAGGGCGCGAGCGUUGUCCGGAAUUAUUGGGCGUAAAGAGCUCGUAGGCGGCCUGUUGCGUCCGCUGUGAAAGCCCGGGGCUUAACCCCGGGUCGGCAGUGGAUACGGGCAGGCUAGAGGUAGGUAGAGGGUAGUAGAAUUUCUAAUGUAAAGGUGAAAUUUGAUAAAAUUAGAGAGAAUACCAAUGGCGUAAGCAACUAUCUGGUCCUUAACUGAUACUGAGGUGCGAAGGUAUGGGGAGCGAAUAGG